GAUGAACGCUGGCGGCGUGCUUAACACAUGCAAGUCGAACGGACAGGCCCAAGCUUGCUUGGGUACUCGAGUGGCGCACGGGUGUGUAACACGUGGGUGAUCUGCCCUGCACUUCGGGAUAAGCCUGGGGAACUGGGUCUAAUACCGGAUAGGACCACAUUUUGGAUGGGGUGGUGGAAAGUUGUUCGGUUUGGGAUGAGCUGGCGGCCUAUCCGCUUGUUGGUGGGGUAAUGGCUUACCAAGGCGUCGACGGGUAGCCGGCCAGAGAGGGUGUAAGGCCACACUGGGACUGAGGGACGGCCCAGGCACCGACGGGAGGCAGCAGUGGGGAAGAUUGAACGAUGGGCGCAAGCCUGAUGAAGAGACGCCGCGGGGGGGAUGACUGUCUUAGGGUUGUAAACUACUUGCGCUAGGGACGAUGCGUUAUGUGACGGUACCUGGAGAAGAAGCACCGGCUAACUACGUG
This 466-nucleotide ribosomal RNA is filed under the name uncultured bacterium. Its description in RNAcentral is "partial 16S ribosomal RNA". It matches the Rfam family "Bacterial small subunit ribosomal RNA", at positions 28 to 507 of the family's 1533-position model. The record is from RNAcentral.